CCUACGGGUGGCUGCAGUGAGGAAUAUUGGUCAAUGGCCGUAAGGCUGAACCAGCCAAGUCGCGUGAAGGAAGAAGGAUCUAUGGUUUGUAAACUUCUUUUAUACGGGAAUAACGCGCCUUACGUGUAGGGCUUUGCAUGUACCGUAUGAAUAAGGACCGGCUAAUUCCGUGCCAGCAGCCGCGGUAAUACGGAAGGUCCGGGCGUUAUCCGGAUUUAUUGGGGUUAAAGGGAGCGUAGGCCGCAUGUCAAGCGUGCUGUGAAAUGUCCGGGCUCAACCCGGGCCUUGCAGCGCGAACUGGCGUGCUUGAGUCCGCGGAAAGCAGGCGGAAUUCGUGGUGUAGCGGUGAAAUGCUUAGAUAUGACGAAGAACCCCGAUUGCGAAGGCAGCUUGCUGCAGCGGAACUGACGCUGAUGCUCGAAAGCGCGGGUAUCGAACAGGAUUAGAUACCCUUGUAGUC
This 460-nucleotide ribosomal RNA is filed under the name uncultured bacterium. Its description in RNAcentral is "partial 16S ribosomal RNA". It matches the Rfam family "Bacterial small subunit ribosomal RNA", at positions 338 to 795 of the family's 1533-position model. The record is from RNAcentral.